CCGAUAACUGGGGUGAAGUCGUAACAAGGUAGCCGUAUCGGAAGGUGCGGCUGGAUCACCUCCUUU
This 66-nucleotide ribosomal RNA is filed under the name Mediterraneibacter gnavus. Its description in RNAcentral is "partial 16S ribosomal RNA". It matches the Rfam family "Bacterial small subunit ribosomal RNA", at positions 1468 to 1533 of the family's 1533-position model. The record is from RNAcentral. Lineage: Bacteria; Bacillati; Bacillota; Clostridia; Lachnospirales; Lachnospiraceae. RNAcentral also lists the same sequence under 1 other name.